Molecule: long non-coding RNA, 1245 nt
Filed under: Bemisia tabaci
Lineage: Eukaryota; Metazoa; Arthropoda; Insecta; Hemiptera; Aleyrodidae
Description: lncRNA ENSASIAIIG010546
Source: RNAcentral
AUGAAUCAAAAUAUUGUGAAAUUUGUGGAAAAACAGUUGAAAAAUGAGGAAGUUAAAAGAGAAGAUAAUUUUUGGAAACCAAAUCGCACCGCUGCCCCCAGAUUGCCUGCAAAUUUAAUUAAAAGGAAGCCGGAAUGGGCUCCGAAGCCUGACCCACCCAAACCUAAAAACAAAUAUCUGUACCUGAGACAAGAUUUCCUCAAGAGGCUGUAUGGUGCCUCAAAAAUAAACAAAGAUUUUUGCAUAGAAAACCUCAAAGCUAACAUAGAACCAAGUUUUGCACACAUGUGGAAAGUAGGUAAAUUGACAAUGGCGAAUAUCUUGAAAUUGAGUCAGCUAGAUCUAUUGCAGCAACCCGUGAAGGGGCUUAACAGUCAAAGCGUUGAGCCCUAUUUUCAGUUUUGUAGACAUUUUAUAUUCCUCAACCCCGAAUUGGUCACAACAGUCUCGAAGAAAAUUCACAAGAUUGAAGCAGGACUGACAGCAGAAGAAGCUGACAAAGAAAAGAAAACAAAUGUUAAUUUUGAUGAAGUACGAGAGUCUACAGCUUUGAGUAAGACCGGAGUAGUUGAAGUGUCAUCAGCGCACAAGCAUGAAUUGCAGACUCUAACAAACCUCGAUACAAUUGAAGGAGCAAAAAAGAAAAUUUUAGAAAAGCUCGCGGCAAACAGAGAUUAUAUUUUGGAUCUGAAACGUAAAGCUGGAUCAAGCCUUUUUGUAGAUCAGUCCUUUGAUGAUGUUACUUUAUUGUCAUACCUCAAAUUGUGUCAGACAUUUAAAAAUUUUGAUGUCGACUUCCUUGCUCAGGUUCAACCUAAACUAGUAAAAUCAUCUCCUUCUGCAAAUUUAAUACCCAGCAACAAUGAGAGCUCUAUAGCCUCAAGUGAAAAAACUUUGUCGGCCUCUUCAAAUGAAGGGAGAAUUAGCAAUAAUUCUUGUACAUCAACCAACUCGCCCACUGCUCGCUCAACCGCUUCAAAGGGUAAAGACUGCCAUGAAAAUCUCAGGUCUCUAAAUUAUGAAGAACUUAAGCAAUAUCUUCCUUGUAAAGCAGCAAGCAAUGUGGCUUGUACAACUAUAGAUCCGAAAUUAUCAUCAAUCCUUCAAAAAGCCAUGAGUGACCUAGCAAGGUCAACUGAAAAGGACUGUGUUCAAUUUAAGACUGAAGGUAGUGUAGUUCCUGCUAUUUUUAAUUUGCUAAAAAGUUCUCACACACUAAGUCCCAAAGAUGUUGAAAAAUCAUAA